RNAcentral lists this ribosomal RNA (492 nucleotides) under uncultured bacterium. RNAcentral describes it as "partial 16S ribosomal RNA". It matches the Rfam family "Bacterial small subunit ribosomal RNA", at positions 29 to 507 of the family's 1533-position model. The record is from RNAcentral.
AGUGAACGCUGGCGGUAGGCCUAACACAUGCAAGUCGAACGGCAGCACAGUAAGAGCUUGCUCUUACGGGUGGCGAGUGGCGGACGGGUGAGGAAUACAUCGGAAUCUACUUUUUCGUGGGGGAUAACGUAGGGAAACUUACGCUAAUACCGCAUACGACCUACGGGUGAAAGCAGGGGAUCUUCGGACCUUGCGCGAUUGAAUGAGCCGAUGUCGGAUUAGCUAGUUGGCGGGGUAAAGGCCCACCAAGGCGACGAUCCGUAGCUGGUCUGAGAGGAUGAUCAGCCACACCGGAACUGAGACACGGUCCAGACUCCUACGGGAGGCAGCAGUGGGGAAUAUUGGACAAUGGGCGCAAGCCUGAUCCAGCUAUACCGCGUGGGUGAAGAAGGCCUUCGGGUUGUAAAGCCCUUUUGUUGGGAAAGAAAAGCAGCAGGUUAAUACCCCGCUGUUCUGACGGUACCCAAAGAAUAAGCACCGGCUAACUUCGUG